CCUGUACCCACACAGACACUGGACACCAAGUCAGGUAACCCCUGUACCCACACAGACACUGGACACCAAGUCAGUUAACCCCUGUACCCACACAGACACUGGACACCAAGUCAGUUAACCCCUGUACCCACACAGACACUGGACACCAAGUCAGGUAACCCCUGUACCCACACAGACACUGGACACCAAGUCAGUUAACCCCUGUACCCACACAGACACUGGACACCAAGUCAGUUAACCCCUGUACCCACACAGACACUGGACACCAAGUCAGGUAACCCCUGUACCCACACAGACACUGGACACCAAGUCAGGUAACCCCUGUACCCACACAGACACUGGACACCAAGUCAGUUAACCCCUGUACCCAC
Long non-coding RNA from Oncorhynchus tshawytscha (Chinook salmon), 371 nucleotides. Lineage: Eukaryota; Metazoa; Chordata; Actinopteri; Salmoniformes; Salmonidae. The record is from Ensembl.